UAGGAAGUGGUGUAGUGGAAGCACCCAGAGUUUUGAUCUCUGCAGGACGGGUUCAAAUCCCUUCUUUCUAA
RNAcentral lists this transfer RNA (71 nucleotides) under Gilchristella aestuaria (Gilchrist's round herring). Its description in RNAcentral is "tRNA-Gln". It matches the Rfam family "tRNA". Rfam says of the family: Transfer RNA (tRNA) molecules are approximately 80 nucleotides in length. Their secondary structure includes four short double-helical elements and three loops (D, anti-codon, and T loops). Lineage: Eukaryota; Metazoa; Chordata; Actinopteri; Clupeiformes; Clupeidae. The record is from RNAcentral.